This 429-nucleotide ribosomal RNA is filed under the name uncultured bacterium. RNAcentral's name for it is "bacterial SSU rRNA". It matches the Rfam family "Bacterial small subunit ribosomal RNA", at positions 30 to 451 of the family's 1533-position model. The record is from RNAcentral.
AUUGAACGCUGGCGGCAGGCUUAACACAUGCAAGUCGAACGGUAACAGAGAAUAGCUUGCUAUUUUGCUGACGAGUGGCGGACGGGUGAGUAAUGCUUGGGAACUUGCCCUAACGUGGGGGACAACAGUUGGAAACGACUGCUAAUACCGCAUAAUGUCUUCGGACCAAAGGUGGCCUCUAUUUAUAAGCUAUCGCGUUAGGAUGGGCCCAAGUGGGAUUAGCUAGUUGGUGAGGUAAUGGCUCACCAAGGCGACGAUCCCUAGCUGGUCUUAGAGGAUGACCAGCCACACUGGAACUGAGACACGGUCCAGACUCCUACGGGAGGCAGCAGUGGGGAAUAUUGCACAAUGGAGGAAACUCUGAUGCAGCCAUGCCGCGUGUGUGAAGAAGGCUUUCGGGUUGUAAAGCACUUUCAGCGAGGAGGAAAG